This 168-nucleotide unclassified non-coding RNA is filed under the name uncultured Ascomycota. RNAcentral describes it as "sequence contains ITS2". The record is from RNAcentral. Lineage: Eukaryota; Fungi; Ascomycota.
CACACUCCAAGCGAAGCUUGAUGUUGGACGAUGCGGUCUCACUUUGGAGACUGCACGUCUGGAACGCGUGGGCACCCACCGCCAGACCACGAGCGUAGCAAGACAUUUUCGUCAAUUCGUUCUGUGGGCUCUGACGGAGGGCGGCCUCAUAGAUUUUCUGUCUCAGAA